Long non-coding RNA from Conger conger (European conger), 3911 nucleotides. RefSeq lists it as uncharacterized. NCBI's taxonomy places the organism in Eukaryota, Metazoa, Chordata, Actinopteri, Anguilliformes, Congridae. The transcript is spliced from 3 exons. The record is from RefSeq and is a predicted model, not a curated record.
GUGGCGCAAUGGGCACAGAGGACGUGCUUCCACUGAGAGAGAGAGAGUAGUUCUAGUGUUGCCUGGCCACAAUGCGGGUGUAAAAUGGCGCAGAAGAGGAUGUAGUGCGUCGGGGCAAAGGGAGUACCUGGCGAAGGGGCUCCGAAGGCAGGCUUGAAAUCCAGCCUUAGCUGCCAGUGCGGUGCCAACACGAUGUGGCAGCCUCAGAACUUGGAACCACCACAUCCAUCACAUUUCCUAAAGAAAAUACGCCUUAAAUAACUUGACACGAUGCGAAUUGAGCCGCAGCCAGUGUCAAGUAAAAAAGUCCUCUCCAAAUACCCCGAGGGACAAAACUAUGUGCCUCUGAGAAGGUCCCAGAAUGGACAGAUGGAGUUUGGGAGGUCAGUGACGAGUAGGAACCGGGAGCCUCCUCCUUCACCACUCUACCCAAAGAAGACCAUUUGGGGAACAUGCACCUAGUGAUGAAGAUCUGGGCGCUGACAUUAGCCACAGCGGAAUCAGCAAAGCCCCAACCUCUUCCUUCCCCUUCAAUAAGCAUUCCAGUUUCUUCUGCCCCUCAAAAUUCCCCUUUGCCCUCUUAAUUUAUGACCGCAUAACACGGUAAAAUCUGGCUCCUCCCUCGAAGAUAGUCAGUUAUGAUCACGUGGCAAGUCAUUUUCAGAAACAAGAAUGAACACUUGCCUAUCAAACUGUUCGCUGUUGAUAGUCACACCUUCAUGGGAAAAUAAUUUGAAUCUGAUUAACCUGUCUAACCUUAAUGAAAUUAACAGAAGUCAUGUAGUAAUAGGUUUAAGCCAGCAUCACACUCUGUGUACCUCCAUGAGCAUUUUUGUCUUUGUGUGGAUGGCCAAAGUUGGAAGAGCAAUGGCAACUAUCUUAACACCUGCCCUAGCAUGCCAGUCCGGCUAUCCAGAAUCACAAGGCAGUAUGCUGUGACUUUGAAUGGUCUAGAAGGAUAUUACCAUAUUUGUCUUAAUUGUCUGCCUAAAUCCUUUUGAGAAAAAUGGUUUAGAGUCCAUUACAUCCAAGAAGACCAGUCACUGUCUUUUGUGAGCAAAAUAAUUUUGAAUGCUGUUUGACGCGGAGGGAAAUUUUUUCUGAUUUCAUUAAUGUGCUGUCAUUUUGAUCUGGUGUCUGGUGUAUGAUUGUGGACCAGUAGCUUUUUUUUUUUUGUUGCUGGUACUUCCUUUGCUUAUUUUACCUGUGCAUUUUAUCCAUUCCUCACCAUUAUCAUUUCAUCCCAUAUAGCUAAUGUAAGGGGUAUGCAUUGCAUGAACCAAGUAGACAUUUUGAGUUAAAGGGUGCGAUGGGGGUCAUCCGAUGACCUUUCCAUUGAAGUUGUUUUGGUUUGGCCUGCCCACGGGAUGUUUCUGGCCACUUCGCCAGCACCCGAGGGCCUAGAGGUGAAGCCUUUUCUUUAAGCGGAAUCGUGCAAUACAUAAUUUCUUUCUUUUUUCUUUCCUGUUGCUGUUAUAAAUAUGUAAAGAAAAAAAGAUAAUUGUGAAACAAGUGACAAGUUGUUUUGAAACAACAAAAUCACCAACGUCUUCCAUUAAAAGAUGUAUAGUCCCAUGCGCAUUAGCUUACUAGCAGUACAGUAGUGCCAACAUAUCUGGCCAUGCAUGAAAAGUAGUGAUGCAUGCUGAAUACAGUAAUUAUAGUAAUAUUUUAUAAUUGUAAAAAGUGAAAAUAUAGAGGCUCCUCUCUUACUGAGCAUAGUUACUAACCAGGCUGGAGAGUCCUUUCUCGCAGGAGUCUGAGACUAGAUUAAGGAGUGAAUCCACAAGUUUAUAGGCCUUGAUUAUACUACUUAUAAUUAACAAUAGAGAUAUGGGUCUGUGCCAGGGCGAAAUUGGCCAUCACGUUUUCGUUCAUGUUGUGUCCCGCUGUAGUUCGUAGCAGGAUUUGGACACACGGUAUCCCCUAGCAUUUACCUGUAUGGAGAAAUGAACGUUUCUGAUGUUGCUGUAAUUUAGAAGCCAAAAUGCAUCCCAUUCAUACAUUGUUUUUUUAUGUUCUAGAACGCUUUUUUUUUGUAUUAUGUAAGUAUAAUUUUGUAAUGUUUAAAUACUGUGUAAGCCCCCUUUUCUCUUAAGCCUGAGGGUGUGACAGCAUUCAUUAUACAAAAAUGCUUUGCCUUUAACGAUAUAUCGUUUUCAGAGACAAGGGGACACAGUGUGCGUCAGACUCGCAAAACAAAUUGUGUAAAACUGUAGCACAGAUGUUCAAUCAUCAAUCGUUGAAUUGUAAUUUUCUUUCGUCAAAGUGGUGCCGUUCCUUGGACGAGACACAUCUCCAAUGACUUGACCAGCUCCCCGCUUAGCACCACAUAUGUGCGUUUUCACAAAAUGUUUUCUUGGUGGUGGGGGGCUGCAUUUCCCCUUUUGAUAUUGACAUGUUAGAAAUGUAAAAGCUUUAUACAUCAUAAAAGGGAAUCUCGGACACGAUCGGGGAUGUGUCUCCUGGAUUGGCACACUUCCGACAACUAACGAUAAAUUGUAGCUUCAAAUUAGCAUUGUAGCAUAACAUAGCGUAGUGUAGAGUAGCGCUUAAGUCAUUAAGUGAAAAAACGUAUACUGUAAUGUAGAUAAAUACCUCAAGGUUUGGAAUGCAGAACAUCUUGUUAGGACAUCUCUAAUGCAAAUUAAGCCAUAAUGCAUACAUAUAUCUAGGCCUAUAUAUACAUAUAUAGUUAUUUAGGACUUUAGAAGCAAUAAAAAUGUUAUGCAUGAUUUUAGUGCCAGGAUGAUUAUUGUUUCUGUGGAGUGGCAACUCUUAGCAAAUUGUAGUUGUGGUUGAAUUUUUGUAGCAAAGCAACUGCUUUGUGUAAAUCUGACUUUAGAAUAGAUGGGGGUAAGAAACUCAGAUAUAGGGGAUUUUGUGCCAAUGGUUAAUGGACGCGUUUUUUGUGCCGUCUUUUGACAGGCUGCAUUAUUCCAGUGAAUGAACUUGCACAAUGAUUUCACCAUAGACCUAUGAAAAUCAGCAUAAUCCUUUGAAUAUGGAAAUGUAAUAAUCCUGGGUGAAUAGUGUGACAUCUGUAAGACAUUUAUAAGCGGUGUGUGGAUUUUUGAUAACCUUGUAGCUUUUCAUUUAUGUGUUGCAUUGUUAAACAAGAGAACGUGUGCAGUGGGAUUGCAAGCCCUUAUCUCACAUUCAAGGGCCGUCCAACUGUACACACAAGUUUCCAUCAGAUCACAGCUUGGCACACUGCUAAGAUGGAUCUAGGCAGAACAGAUUGUUCUGAGGUUUAAUGCAUGUUUACAUGGCUAAAUGUUGUGGUUUAGCUGGAUGAAACUAAUCACAUGCACAAAUAUAUGAAUAUAUAUGCAUUUUAUUAUGAUUGAAAGCAAUAGGAUUUAUGUAGUGAUCUUACAUUGCAUUAGUUUUUUUUUAUCCUUUUGUCUUAAGGAUUUAGUUCUGACACAAAACUGUAUGUCAGCCGUCACCACAGUAACGGAGGGCCUGUGGAGGCUGAUGUGGGGAGAUGUGCGCGGUUUACCGAGCCGAGGUGGUCGCUAACGCGCUUGAACAAAACUGCAAACUAUGUACUUGUGAAUCGGUUUACUGCUAGCGAGGAUCAGCGUGUUGGUUGUAAAGUAGGAUGGGUUUCAUGUUUACUAAAUCUCACAGUACUGUCUUUUCACAUCUCUAACACUUUGUGUGGGGGUGGGGGAGGGGAGGGGCGAUUUGGGACACUGCAGCUACAUCUGUACAAUUAGAAUUUAUGCACAGAGUAUAUGCUAAAGUACUAAAGAAUGCGGACGAGAACCCUGUCAAGUGCAUGAGAAGCAAAAUAGGAAACCUAGUGAAGCAUGCAAUAUUCUAGUAUUUGGAAAACCAUGAUUGCUCUUAAAGUUGACUGUCAAUUGUAAUAAGAAAUGUUUGAAUAAAAUAAUAGGAGAUUU